GAACGCUGGCGGCGUGCCUAAUACAUGCAAGUAGAACGCUGAAGGAGGAGCUUGCUUCUCUGGAUGAGUUGCGAACGGGUGAGUAACGCGUAGGUAACCUGCCUGGUAGCGGGGGAUAACUAUUGGAAACGAUAGCUAAUACCGCAUAAGAGUGGAUGUUGCAUGACAUUUGCUUAAAAGGUGCACUUGCAUCACUACCAGAUGGACCUGCGUUGUAUUAGCUAGUUGGUGGGGUAACGGCUCACCAAGGCGACGAUACAUAGCCGACCUGAGAGGGUGAUCGGCCACACUGGGACUGAGACACGGCCCAGGCUCCUACGGGAGGCAGCAGUAGGGAAUCUUCGGCAAUGGACGGAAGUCUGACCGAGCAACGCCGCGUGAGUGAAGAAGGUUUUCGGAUCGUAAAGCUCUGUUGUAAGAGAAGAACGAGUGUGAGAGUGGAAAGUUCACACUGUGACGGUAUCUUACCAGAAAGGGACGGCUAACUACGUGCCAGCAGCCGCGGUAAUACGUAGGUCCCGAGCGUUGUCCGGAUUUAUUGGGCGUAAAGCGAGCGCAGGCGGUUAGAUAAGUCUGAAGUUAAAGGCUGUGGCUUAACCAUAGUAGGCUUUGGAAACUGUUUAACUUGAGUGCAAGAGGGGAGAGUGGAAUUCCAUGUGUAGCGGUGAAAUGCGUAGAUAUAUGGAGGAACACCGGUGGCGAAAGCGGCUCUCUGGCUUGUAACUGACGCUGAGGCUCGAAAGCGUGGGGAGCAAACAGGAUUAGAUACCCUGGUAGUCCACGCUGUAAACGAUGAGUGCUAGGUGUUAGACCCUUUCCGGGGUUUAGUGCCGUAGCUAACGCAUUAAGCACUCCGCCUGGGGAGUACGACCGCAAGGUG
RNAcentral lists this ribosomal RNA (880 nucleotides) under uncultured bacterium. RNAcentral describes it as "bacterial SSU rRNA". It matches the Rfam family "Bacterial small subunit ribosomal RNA", at positions 31 to 895 of the family's 1533-position model. The record is from RNAcentral.